GGGGAUUUAGCUCAGUGGCACAGCGCCUGCCUUGUAAGCAGGCAAUCGUGAGUUUGAUCCCUG
RNAcentral lists this transfer RNA (63 nucleotides) under Cavia porcellus (domestic guinea pig). It matches the Rfam family "tRNA", at positions 1 to 62 of the family's 71-position model. Rfam says of the family: Transfer RNA (tRNA) molecules are approximately 80 nucleotides in length. Lineage: Eukaryota; Metazoa; Chordata; Mammalia; Rodentia; Caviidae. The record is from Rfam by way of RNAcentral.